RNAcentral lists this ribosomal RNA (544 nucleotides) under Blastocystis sp. Its description in RNAcentral is "SSU rRNA". It matches the Rfam family "Eukaryotic small subunit ribosomal RNA", at positions 17 to 576 of the family's 1831-position model. Lineage: Eukaryota; Bigyra; Opalinata; Blastocystidae. The record is from RNAcentral.
CCAGUAGUCAUACGCUCGUCUCAAAGAUUAAGCCAUGCAUGUGUAAGUAUAAAUAAUUCUACUUUGAAACUGCGAAUGGCUCAUUAUAUCAGUUAUAGUUUAUUAGAAAAAAUGUACUACUUGGAUAACCGUAGUAAUUCUAGGGGUAAUACAUGAGUAAAUCCUCGACUUUGAAGAGGUGUGUUUAUUAGUAUGAAAACCAUAUGCUUCGGCAUGAUAGUGAGUAAUAAUAACCUUUCAUAUCGUAUGUUGUAAUAACGAUAGUUCUUUCAAGUUUUUGCCCUAUCAGCUUUCGAUGGUAGUGCAUUGGACUACCAUGGCAGUAACGGGUAACGAAGAAUUUGGGUUCGAUUUCGGAGAGGGAGCCUGAGAGAUGGCUACCACAUCCAAGGAAGGCAGCAGGCGCGUAAAUUACCCAAUCCUGACAUAGGGAGGUAGUGACAAUAAAUCACAAUGCGGGACUUUUAGUUUUGCAAUUGGAUUGAGAACAAUGUACAAGAGUUAUCGAUAAACAAUUGGAGGGCAAGUCUGGUGCCAGCAGCCG